This 256-nucleotide ribosomal RNA is filed under the name uncultured bacterium. RNAcentral describes it as "partial 16S ribosomal RNA". It matches the Rfam family "Bacterial small subunit ribosomal RNA", at positions 524 to 776 of the family's 1533-position model. The record is from RNAcentral.
UACGAAGGGGGGCUAGCGUUGCUCGGAAUCACUGGGCGUAAAAGGGCGCGUAGGCGGACUUUUUAAGUCAGGGGUGAAAUCCUGAGGCUCAACCUUAGAACUGCCUUUGAUACUGAGGGUCUCGAGACCGGUAGAGGUAAGUGGAACUGCGAGUGUAGAGGUGAAAUUCGUAGAUAUUCGCAAGAACACCAGUGGCGAAGGCGGCUUACUGGACCGGUUCUGACGCUGAGGCGCGAAAGCGUGGGGAGCAAACAGG